This 778-nucleotide long non-coding RNA is filed under the name Nicotiana benthamiana. RNAcentral's name for it is "long non-coding RNA (NBEN_LNC013566)". The record is from RNAcentral. Lineage: Eukaryota; Viridiplantae; Streptophyta; Magnoliopsida; Solanales; Solanaceae.
AAAGAAGAAGAAAAAAUGGGGGUCAGAGAUUAGAUUUGCAGAAAAUUUUCGAGAAUUAAAAAACUUGAGAGCAUACAGGACUGGAGAGCUAAGAAAUCCUGAAAAUAUCAAAAAUAGCAAUAAACCCUGCAUAACAAACUAUUCUAUUCAAGUUUCUCCUGGGAUCCUUGAGGUUUUCAUGUGAUAAAAUAAGCCCUGAAUAGUCAGAAGUUAAAAUAAGUUGAGUGAUGUUAGGUAGUCAAGUAUUUGGGUCAGUUUUUGGUGGGGAUUUUUGAUUGCUCAGAUUAUUUAAUAUUGUUACUAGUUCAAAAUUGUUCUAAAUUGGUUUCCCUUGUUCAUUUCUGGGUUGAUACAUUGCUGCUGGCUUUUGUUUGCUACUGUUGAGUUCUGUUGUUGAUUCCUGCUAUAUAUAUGUUGAUCAACCAUUCCUGUUUCCUUUCAAACUCCAGGUAUAUUCUUGGCUCACGAUAGAGGGCUGAUUGCUGAACAUGUAGUAGAUUUGAAGUUCUAUUAAAUGAAGAAGUUGUUUGAAGCAGGAAUUUUCUUUCUUUUUGUUAUUGUUUCCUAUUCAUAGUUAGAUUUAAAGCAACAAGUGUUAGUUAAAAUCUUUUCCAUCAAAUUUUUGGUGAGCAAAAGAAUUAGAUGUAUUACUUUGCAUCUGUGUUGAUGAGUAGGCUAUGGGCCAUAAUGGUUCAUCUUCAUGUUUGUAUGUUAUCUUUAUUUGGAUUUGAACUUGUUUAAAUGUAAAAACCCAGGACUGUUAAGACUGUUGAAUGGA